AUACGUAGGUGGCAAGCGUUGUCCGGAAUUACUGGGCGUAAAGGGUGCGUAGGCGGUUUAUUAAGUCUGGUGUGAAAUUUCAUGGCUUAACUGUGAAGGGUCAUUGGAAACUGAUAAACUUGAGUACGGUAGGGGUAAGUGGAAUUCCAAGUGGAGCGGUGGAAUGCGUAGAUAUUUGGAGGAACACCAGUGGCGAAGGCGGCUUACUGGGCCGGAACUGACGCUGAGGCACGAAAGCGUGGGGAGC
This 247-nucleotide ribosomal RNA is filed under the name uncultured bacterium. RNAcentral's name for it is "partial 16S ribosomal RNA". It matches the Rfam family "Bacterial small subunit ribosomal RNA", at positions 523 to 769 of the family's 1533-position model. The record is from RNAcentral.